RNAcentral lists this ribosomal RNA (253 nucleotides) under uncultured bacterium. RNAcentral describes it as "partial 16S ribosomal RNA". It matches the Rfam family "Bacterial small subunit ribosomal RNA", at positions 524 to 776 of the family's 1533-position model. The record is from RNAcentral.
UACAGGGGGGGCAAGCGUUGUUCGGAAUUACUGGGCGUAAAGGGCUCGUAGGCGGCCAACUAAGUCCGACGUGAAAUCCCCAAGCUUAACUUGGGAACUGCGUCGGAUACUGGAUGGCUUGAAUUCGGGAGAGGGAUGCAGAAUUCCAGGUGUAGCGGUGAAAUGCGUAGAUAUCAGUCGGAACACCGGUGGCGAAGGCGGCUUCUUGGGCCGUUUCUGACGCUGAGGCGCGAAAGCCAGGGGAGCGAACGGG